GCUGUAGCUCAGUGGCAGCACAUCUGCCUCGCAUGCAAAAGGUCCCAUGUUCAACCCCUGGCAUCUCCA
Podarcis lilfordi (Lilford's wall lizard) is the source of this 69-nucleotide non-coding RNA. Lineage: Eukaryota; Metazoa; Chordata; Lepidosauria; Squamata; Lacertidae. The record is from the annotation of a GenBank genome assembly.